GUUAUCCAAGAUAUAUGCUAUUCGCAAAAACUUACUGUGAAGAUGAAGGUGAAAUCAUGUUAGAAGAAGUAUUAAAACAUGGAUAUAUCACAGCAUCUGAAGUCAUAAUAAAAACAUAUAAACGAAUUGAGGAGACACCUUCUAAAUGUGCUGAACAACUUUCUAUCUCAAAUUUGAAAAACAAAUUUGAGUUAUUAGU
This is a long non-coding RNA of Formica exsecta, 199 nucleotides long. RefSeq lists it as uncharacterized. Lineage: Eukaryota; Metazoa; Arthropoda; Insecta; Hymenoptera; Formicidae. The transcript is spliced from 3 exons. The record is from RefSeq and is a predicted model, not a curated record.